ACUUGAGGGGCAUGAGGAU
This 19-nucleotide microRNA is filed under the name Mus musculus (house mouse). RNAcentral's name for it is "mmu-miR-327". Its record names the gene mmu-miR-327. The record is from miRBase by way of RNAcentral. Lineage: Eukaryota; Metazoa; Chordata; Mammalia; Rodentia; Muridae.